CUAACACACUUAUUUCUAAACAAGUCUGUUUUCAGCUUUAAAGAUAUUGGUCGUGUCCGAAUACCCAUAUGCUAGCUUACAAAAUAUUAUGCGAAAAUUAACGUCUUAUAGUAUAUUAAAUUUCGAAUGCAUCAUCCAUCUAAUGCGCCAUUGCGUUGACUCCCACCAUUCGUUCAUUUUGUUACAGGGCGUCAAUCUCUCAUUAUCACCUCUUGUCAAACACGUAAGUCGUAAAAGACGAGUGAAUUCUCCUAAAUCAAACGCGAAAUGAGUAUGCAGUUUAAUGAAGCAUAUAAUACGCUAGUAUUGGUAUUCGGACACAACUACUGAUCAUAGAUUUGAUGUGUAAUGUAAUAAGUAGUACCGUAUUUCAAAGAACAGUGCGCGUUCAUUUUUCAUGUAACCACGCCCUUUGAGCUAUGACACCAACCAAUAAGAUCAUUUCUAUUCUGUGUAAAAGGAAGUAAACAGUGACCAAGAACAAUUUCUUGUUAGCGUUUUUGUUUUUAUUUAGACGUUUAACAACACCCUGGAACUCAAACUCAUUUAACUGCACAGAAUCACAUACUUACCUCAGGUGAAGGACAUCUCACUGGAGGCCACAGGAGCUUUGCAAAGCCAGCAGGACACAACGUGUGGAGAGAUGACCAACCUAUAGCUAUAGAUGGGGGGAGUGGAACCUCAACCCAGCAUGUUAUUGUGAUAGAGUCUGCAGAUGCAGAGGCUGCAGGUCCUGGGGUCAAGCAGGAGAGGUCUGAAGGAGAGGAGGACCCACGGCACAGUAGCGAUAUUCAGACUGGAGCAGCAGCUGGAGUGGCGCCCCCUGUAGCCACGGAGGACCUACACACCGCCGCCGCUCCCAGGCCUAGGACACGACGCAGCAUCACGGAGGUCAGUGGAACGCCGAACGCCGUCCUCAAGUCAGAGACAGAUAAAGAGACUUUAAC
This is an RNA transcript of Coregonus clupeaformis (lake whitefish), 947 nucleotides long. RefSeq lists it as uncharacterized. The record is from RefSeq and is a predicted model, not a curated record. Lineage: Eukaryota; Metazoa; Chordata; Actinopteri; Salmoniformes; Salmonidae. The transcript has 3 exons.